Molecule: long non-coding RNA, 1347 nt
Filed under: Mus musculus (house mouse)
Lineage: Eukaryota; Metazoa; Chordata; Mammalia; Rodentia; Muridae
Description: long non-coding RNA chr4:102790528-102791875
Source: RNAcentral
GAAUUUACAUAAAAGCCGUCUGUCAGAAUAGCCUUGGGAAUGUAGGAGUAAAUGACCACUAAAACACAGCUGAACGAAAGAAAUGAGGAAAUCUCUUUUAAAAGAUAUUAAUAAUUGCAAGUGGGAUUAGAGCCUUUAAACACUUUUAUAUUUAACUGAGCAAAAUUGAGGCAUUAGUUGUCCUACAAACUCUCUCUCUCUCUCUCUCUCUCUCUCUCUCUCUCACACACACACACACACACACACACACACACCAAAAAACUUUUUUCAAUUCUAAGAAAAUAAAGAAAACUAUGCCAGGCCCCAAAUUUCCUUCUAGCUUUGCCUCUGGUUGUCUACUCCUGAUUAAAAAAAAAAAAAAAAAAAAAAAAAAAAAAAAACCUGAGUCACUCAGAGCUCUUCAAUAUCAGUGUGAGAAGUGUGAGAGUCUCUUGUGACCUAAAAGGCUCAGUCCUUCACUAGUUGACAAGUGUUAGUGCCAGCCUGUCCAUUCCAAGGACUCAGCAGCCCUCCAAGACUCAAGGGACAAGAUAGAGACGCUCUGAUGAUGACAACUUCCAGCCUAGGCGCCAACGUAACUAAUCGUUUGAGAUCCUUUGCUAACAUUUUCCCAAAUGCAAGAAGUUUUAAAGCAAGUAUAUUGGCUACACAAUAGUUCCAAGGAGAAAGGAUUCCUCUCCCUGAAAUAGAGAAAAACCUUGUGUUGGGUAGAAUUUUUAGAAGUGGUAAGACAGCAUAUGAGGCAGUGCCCCAGCAAGAAGAGUACCUGAAUCAAACAUUGGUGACCUGCCAGCUACAGUGAGGAGUCCAAGUAGGACCAACAGCUUGACACCUUGGUAGGUUCCAGUCUAUUUGCCAACAGCCACCCCCAACUUAAUAUUAGUUUUAUUGUUUUCCUUUUAUUUCAAUUAAAGAUAUUUUAGGUCUUUCUAGAUGUGGAAAGCCAGCCCCAAGGUAUGAUUUAGGAUAAUGAGGUGGGGAGGGGGUUAGUUAGUGAGUAAAAAGAAUUGAAUUGCUCUAGAAAAUGAAGUUGUGAACAUUUCUAUCCAGGACUUGCUAGAAAGAAAAGUUUGUAAGAAGGAGCCAAGAUUUGCAAUGGGGGCUGAGGGAUGAAGGUUGACCAGUUGACCUCUCUGUGGUGAUCUGCGCUUUUCUAAAACACUGAAUCUGAGUUCCCGAUUCAGUCUUAAAGGUUUUCUGCAGCCAUUCCUUCCUGUGCUCUGUCGCUGUUAAAUGUUGCUUCCCUGAAGUGAUGCUUUCAUGUCUGGCAUUUGUGAUUUGUGGGAAAUUGAAGGGGGAGGGGCAGUCUCCCUGAGAUAUCAGCAUAAUGUGAUAAAAAGACAAUCU